GUCUACAGCCAUGCCACCCUGAACAAGCCCGAUCUCGUCUGAUCUCGGAAGCUAAGCAGGGUCGGGCCUGGUUAGUACUUGGAUGGGAGACCACCUAGGAAGACUAGGUACUGUAGGCG
RNAcentral lists this ribosomal RNA (119 nucleotides) under Pteropus alecto (black flying fox). RNAcentral also lists the same sequence under 1 other name. The record is from RNAcentral. Lineage: Eukaryota; Metazoa; Chordata; Mammalia; Chiroptera; Pteropodidae.